Molecule: long non-coding RNA, 446 nt
Filed under: Vulpes vulpes (red fox)
Lineage: Eukaryota; Metazoa; Chordata; Mammalia; Carnivora; Canidae
Description: lncRNA (ENSVVUG00000020430.1)
Source: RNAcentral
GGAGCUAACAGAAUAGCAUGUAUACUAGGUCUUGACUAGACUUAUUUUCACCUAAAUCUCAUCUAUAUUUUUCUUCUUUCUUUUCAGGUCUGGUUGUGGCAAUCAGAGUCAUGGUGAGAGUAAAGGAGAUGUGUCCUGAGAACCAAACCUGCCUAUGGCACAGCCCAGCAUAAAGCCCCUGGUCUGUGCAAAUGUAGGGUCCAGAACCAUGAACUCCAACGGAAAAUGCUUCACUAAGCCACCCUAAUAACAUCAGAAGCUAUGGAGAGAGAAAAUUACACGGUCGAAGGUGCCCAAUAUAAUAUUACUCAGCAACAGAGUGGUUUUUCAACAGGAAGUUUUCAGCUCUGUAAUUAGAAAUCCACAAUGGAAGCUCUGACAUUUAAUUACAACACUGCUAAGACAAUAAUAAUAAGAGGAAUACCAAAGUUGAAUGCGUAUUUCUU